GGGAGUAUAGCUCAGCAUUAGAGUGUGUGCUUAGCAUGUGCGAUGUCCUGGGUUCAAUCCCCAGUACGUCCA
RNAcentral lists this transfer RNA (72 nucleotides) under Camelus bactrianus (Bactrian camel). It matches the Rfam family "tRNA". Rfam says of the family: Transfer RNA (tRNA) molecules are approximately 80 nucleotides in length. Their secondary structure includes four short double-helical elements and three loops (D, anti-codon, and T loops). RNAcentral also lists the same sequence under 2 other names. Lineage: Eukaryota; Metazoa; Chordata; Mammalia; Artiodactyla; Camelidae. The record is from Rfam by way of RNAcentral.